Molecule: long non-coding RNA, 327 nt
Filed under: Panax ginseng (ginseng)
Lineage: Eukaryota; Viridiplantae; Streptophyta; Magnoliopsida; Apiales; Araliaceae
Description: long non-coding RNA (PGIN_LNC016667)
Source: RNAcentral
CUCAGAUCUGUAUGUAAUCAGGGCAAAGAGUGUGCCACCGCCAUGGCUGCAAAAACAGUUGCAUUAGAUGUAAGAGGGAUCGAGAGAGAUCAAAACCCAAAACCCAAAUGAAUCCAUCAAAUCAAACCCCUCGCAUCAUCAUGUCAUCUGUUUCACCCCGCCAAGAUACGGAUGUAAGAGGGAUCGAGAGAGAUCAAAACCCAAAACCCAAAACCCAAAACCCAAAUGAAUUCAUCAAAUCAAAUCCCUCGCAUCAUCAUGCCAUCUGUUUCGCCCCGCCAAGAUACGACCACAUCAACACAGCCCCGAUUCGCUCAAUAAUCAAAU